GACGAACGCUGGCGGCGUGCUUAACACAUGCAAGUCGAGCGGUAAGGCCCUUUCGGGGGUACACGAGCGGCGAACGGGUGAGUAACACGUGGGUGACCUGCCCUCAGCUCUGGGAUAAGCCUGGGAAACUGGGUCUAAUACUGGAUAUGACUCCACGGUGCAUGUCGUGGGGUGGAAAGCCUUGUGCGGCUGAGGAUGGGCCCGCGGCCUAUCAGCUUGUUGGUGGGGUGANGGCCUACCAAGGCGACGACGGGUAGCCGGCCUGAGAGGGCGACCGGCCACACUGGGACUGAGACACGGCCCAGACUCCUACGGGAGGCAGCAGUGGGGAAUAUUGGACAAUGGGCGCAAGCCUGAUCCAGCGAUGCCGCGUGAGUGAAGAAGGCCUU
Molecule: ribosomal RNA, 389 nt
Filed under: uncultured bacterium
Lineage: Bacteria
Description: bacterial SSU rRNA
Rfam family: Bacterial small subunit ribosomal RNA
Source: RNAcentral